AUUGAACGCUGGCGGCAGGCCUAACACAUGCAAGUCGAGCGGAUGAAGGGAGCUUGCUCCUGGAUUCAGCGGCGGACGGGUGAGUAAUGCCUAGGAAUCUGCCUGGUAGUGGUGGAUAACGUCCGUAAACGGGCGCUAAUACCGCAUACGUCCUUAGUGCGAAAGUGGGGGAUCUUCGGACCUCACGCUAUCAGAUGAGCCUAGGUCGGAUUAGCUAGUUGGUGGGGUAAAGGCCUACCAAGGCGACGAUCCGUAACUGGUCUGAGAGGAUGAUCAGGCACACUGGAACGGAGACACGGUCCAGACUCCUACGGGAGGCAGCAGUGGGGAAUAUUGGACAAUGGGCGAAAGCCUGAUGCAGCCAUGCCGCGUGAGUGAAGAAGGUCUUCGGAUUGUAAAGCACUUUAAGUUGGGAGGAAGGGCAGUAAGUUAAGACCUGGCUGUUUUGACGUUACCAAAAGAAUAAGCACCGGCUAACUUCGUG
Molecule: ribosomal RNA, 484 nt
Filed under: uncultured bacterium
Lineage: Bacteria
Description: partial 16S ribosomal RNA
Rfam family: Bacterial small subunit ribosomal RNA
Source: RNAcentral